UACGUAGGGGGCGAGCGUUGUCCGGAUUUAUUGGGCGUAAAUAGCGUGUAGGCGGCCAGGUAGGUCAGCUGUGAAAACUCGAGGCUCAACCUCGAGAUGUCGGCUGAAACCAUCUGGCUAGAGUCCGGAAGAGGAGAAUGGAAUUCCCGGUGUAGCGGUGAAAUGCGCAGAUAUCGGGAAGAACACCCGUGGCGAAGGCGGUUCUCUGGGACGGUACUGACGCUGAGACGCGAAAGCGUGGGGAGCGAACAGG
Molecule: ribosomal RNA, 253 nt
Filed under: uncultured bacterium
Lineage: Bacteria
Description: partial 16S ribosomal RNA
Rfam family: Bacterial small subunit ribosomal RNA
Source: RNAcentral